CGCACAUUGCGCCCCUUGGUAUUCCGAGGGGCAUGCCUGUUCGAGCGUCAUUACAACCCUCAAGCUCUGCUUGGUGUUGGGCAUUACCUACUGGUAGGCCCUAAAAUCAGUGGCGGAAGCAACCGGCUCCGGGCGUAGUAACAUUUUCGCCUCGGGCACCGGCUGUGACCUGCUAACCGGUCGACCGGUUUAACCGGCACCUUUUUUUUCAGGUUGACCUCGGAUCAGGUAGGGAUACCCGCUGAACUUAA
RNAcentral lists this unclassified non-coding RNA (251 nucleotides) under Helotiales sp. Its description in RNAcentral is "partial contains 5.8S ribosomal RNA, internal transcribed spacer 2, and large subunit ribosomal RNA". Lineage: Eukaryota; Fungi; Ascomycota; Leotiomycetes; Helotiales. The record is from RNAcentral.